This 497-nucleotide ribosomal RNA is filed under the name uncultured bacterium. RNAcentral's name for it is "partial 16S ribosomal RNA". It matches the Rfam family "Bacterial small subunit ribosomal RNA", at positions 28 to 507 of the family's 1533-position model. The record is from RNAcentral.
GAUGAACGCUGGCGGCGUGCCUAAUACAUGCAAGUCGAGCGAACAGACGAGGAGCUUGCUCCUCUGACGUUAGCGGCGGACGGGUGAGUAACACGUGGAUAACCUACCUAUAAGACUGGGAUAACUUCGGGAAACCGGAGCUAAUACCGGAUAAUAUAUUGAACCGCAUGGUUCAAUAGUGAAAGACGGUUUUGCUGUCACUUAUAGAUGGAUCCGCGCCGCAUUAGCUAGUUGGUAAGGUAACGGCUUACCAAGGCAACGAUGCGUAGCCGACCUGAGAGGGUGAUCGGCCACACUGGAACUGAGACACGGUCCAGACUCCUACGGGAGGCAGCAGUAGGGAAUCUUCCGCAAUGGGCGAAAGCUUGACGGAGCAACGCCGCGUGAGUGAUGAAGGUCUUCGGAUCGUAAAACUCUGUUAUUAGGGAAGAACAAAUGUGUAAGUAACUAUGCACGUCUUGACGGUACCUAAUCAGAAAGCCACGGCUAACUACCUG